CCUACGGGAGGCAGCAGUGAGGAAUAUUGGUCAAUGGGCGCAAGCCUGAACCAGCCAAGUCGCGUGAGGGAUGACGGUCCUAUGGAUUGUAAACCUCUUUUGUCGGGGAGCAAGGCCCGCCACGUGUGGCGGGAAGGAGAGUACCCGAAGAAAAAGCAUCGGCUAACUCCGUGCCAGCAGCCGCGGUAAUACGGAGGAUGCGAGCGUUAUCCGGAUUUAUUGGGUUUAAAGGGUGCGUAGGCGGAAGGUUAAGUCAGCGGUCAAAUGUCGGUGCUCAACACCGGCCUGCCGUUGAAACUGGUCGUCUUGAGUGAGCGAGAAGUAGGCGGAAUGCGUGGUGUAGCGGUGAAAUGCAUAGAUAUCACGCAGAACUCCGAUUGCGAAGGCAGCAUACCGGCGCUCAACUGACGCUGAGGCACGAAAGCGUGGGGAUCGAACAGGAUUAGAUACCCUUGUAGUC
RNAcentral lists this ribosomal RNA (460 nucleotides) under uncultured bacterium. RNAcentral describes it as "partial 16S ribosomal RNA". It matches the Rfam family "Bacterial small subunit ribosomal RNA", at positions 338 to 795 of the family's 1533-position model. The record is from RNAcentral.